GCCGGCCCUGGGCAUAGGCGAGGGGUGCGACCGCCUAGGGCCCAGGGCCAAAUGGGGCCCCAAUUUUUUUAUUUUUAUUGUUAUUAGUUUAUAUAAAUAAGACUUUUUAGUCAUAUAUUGGGCCCCAAUCAAUAAAAAAUUUGCAGUACAAGCCCAAAGACUCUAAUCUUAUUCCUUUGAAAAAGAUGGCCCACAAACACACAAUUGUAUGCAGUUAAAGGGGCCUUUUUUUUUCUCAUUCUGCCUAGGGCCCAUGAAAAGUCCGGAACG
RNAcentral lists this long non-coding RNA (270 nucleotides) under Salvia miltiorrhiza (redroot sage). RNAcentral describes it as "long non-coding RNA (SMIL_LNC012105)". The record is from RNAcentral. Lineage: Eukaryota; Viridiplantae; Streptophyta; Magnoliopsida; Lamiales; Lamiaceae.